AAACCAUGACUUGCAGAGGUUAGAAUUUCUCUUACCCAUUCCAUUGUCAUACUUAGAAAAAAUCACCUCUCUCCACAUUCUUGACGAUUCCACUUUCCAUUUUCACACCCAUUUCGCAACCAAUGCUUUAUUAAAGCUUCUUACUUCCUUUAUCCUCUGACCCUCUCCUUCUUUGGUUUGCAUAGGUUUUCCCACUUUAUCCAAGCAAUUUUCUUAUUAUCAUUGCCCCAUCCCCAUAGAUACCUCCUUUACAAGCUCUUGAUUUCUUCGCAAACUGACACCAGAGCUUUAAAUAAGGAAAAAUAAAACAGCGGGAGUGCUGUGAAGACCAAUUUAAUCAUGCAAACUCUUCCUCUAAAGGUUAGUUUCUUUUCUUUCCAUAGAGAUAGUUUCUUCUUGACUAUGUUGGUAACCUCCUUCCAGAACUCCUUUUUCCUCGGGUUACCACCAACUUUUAUUCUCAAAUAUUUGAACGAAACCAACAUUUGAGUGCACUUUAGCAUGUGUGCAUAUACCUGGAGCUAUUGACUUUUCACUCCUAUGACUCCUAUCCUUGUCUUGUGAAAAUUUACUCUUAACCUGACCGCAAGUUUAAAACAUCUUAGAAAUUUUUUUUAUCGUCAUAACAUUUUGGUUUGUCGCUUGACACACCACCAGAGUUUCGUUUGCAAACUAAAGCAUUGAGACCUCAACCUGACCAACUCCUAAUUUUACCCCUUUCAACUUUUUUUUGUUUAAUGCUUUCCUUACCAAUCCUGCCAGACCUUCCAGUACUACCAGGAAUAGGAAAGGGGCGAUUGGGUCCCCUUACCUCAGACCCCUUGUGGUUGUAAAUUCCCGAGUAACACUUCCAUUAAUCAAAACUGAUACAGAUGAUGAUUCUAAGCAAUCUUUUAUUCAUCUUAUCCAUUUUUCACUAAACUAAGUCUAUUUAGCAUAUAAAACAAGAAUUCCCAACAUACUGAGUCGUAAUCAACAUUUAUAAUUAAGCCUGACUUCUUCCCCCUUCAUGAGAUCCUCCACCACUUCAUUAACCACUACAAUACUUUUCAAUAACUCUUGGUAAAGCAAUUUUCAUUCUAUUAGCUAAAAUUUUAGAAAUAAUCUUAUAUAUUGCUCUGACAAGGGAUAUUGGCCUAUACUCAUCCAGUUUCGUAAGAUCAUUUAUCUUUGGUACAAGGGCUAUAAAGGAACAAUUGCAUCCUUUUGGAAUUCUUCCUUUUUUUUCAAAGCUUUGAAUCGCUUGGUAGAUGUCAUACUUGAGUGUUUCCCAACUUCCUUUAAUGAAAUUGAAGUUGAAGUCGUUCGGUUCAGAGCCUUUUGUACCAUCACAUUGCCAAAUUUCCUUCCUUAUCUCUUCCUCCGUUAUCUUUGUUGACAACUUAAUAUUUUUCUCCUGAGUAACUUCAGAGAAGUCAACGUUUCCAAAUCUAACCUUGUGAUUAUUAGGUUCAAAAAAGCGUUUUUGAACAGACUUCUAACCACAAAUCUAACAGUAAUAGGGUCCUCUUUCCACACACCAUCCACUUCCACACCUUUAAUUUGGUUUGACAUUCUCCUCCUAGCAAUAGUCGAAUGGUAGAAUUUUGUAUUAGAAUCUCCCAGCUUAAUCCAAUUUAUCCUAGCUUUUUACCUUAACAUGGAUUCAAUUUUGCAGUUAAUUUCCUUGAGAUCACUAAAAAGCUAAACUCUUUUCCUUCUACCCUCCUCACUCAACCGUCGGUCUGCAUCUUCAAUGUCCAACUUUCCAAUUUGUGCAAUUACACCUCUCUUCGCGGUAUAGACAUUACCAAAGACAUGUGUGUUCCAGUUUUUCAAGUCAUGUUUUAGCAUUUUAAAUUUCUCCUUGCAUUUAGUCAAACCUUCUCUGCUCAGAAUAUAAGAAUUCCACUUAGUUUUGACCAUAUCAGCGAACCCUUUAUCUACAAACCAUGUAUCCAAGGUUCUAAAAGGCCUUGGGUACCAAUCAACCGAGUUAGUAUUAACUAUAAUAACAUAGUGAUCUGAGACUUGUCUUGUGAAAACAUAUUGUUUACAUGUCGACCAAGUGUCAAACCAUUCUUGUGACACCAAAACUUUGUCCAGUCUACUAUUCGCCUUUCCAUUUGACCUGAACCAUGUGAAUUUUAAUCCCACAAGAAAAACAUCAAGAAGUGAGUUCUUCUCCGUAAACUCAUUGAACCCAUCUAUCUUUCUUUUAUGUCUUGUCAAUGUAUUAUUGUCUUCUCUCAUUAAGAGACCUUAUCGCAUUAAAAUCGCCAAUAAAAUAGCAAAAGCAUUCCACUUGUGUUUGCCUUAGAUAUGAAAGAUUGUUCCAUAGUUGUUUUUUCUCCUCCCAUGGAUUAAAGUUGUAUGAGUCAAGUCCUAAAAGUAAUUUAUUUCAUUUAAUUGGAUUUAAGUUGUGGGAGUCAAGUCUUAAAAUUACUUUAUUUCAUAAACAGUAAAAUAGAAAUUAACAAAAGAGACCAUAAAGAAAGACUAAAAAUAGAAAGGAAUCCAGAUAUCCAUUCAAAUAAAAUAGUUUAACUAUGAUGUAUUGAAAGUGUUAUAAUCAUAAAUUACUAAUUAGUUAAUAAUUUUUUUAAAGAUCAUUUUUUAAUGAUUGCUCAUUUAUUCUUUCAAAACGAUGAGUAGAACUUAUAUAUGUAUGAAUAAAAAAGGCACAAUUUUAUAGGCGUUGUCUUAUUUUUACUUAAAAAUUAAAGUUUUAUCUAGUAAAAUGGAUAAACAUUUAUCUUCCAUAAGGUAAGAGCAUUAUUUUUCAAGAACACUUAUAAUUCCUAUUUAUUAAAUAUGAUAAGUUAUUUGUGUGAGGCUUUGUGGGAAUGAUGUUUGACCAUUAUUCUAGACUAUCCAUGUUAGUAGCAUUGUUCUACACAUUCCAACCACCUUGGAUAAGCUCUCACUGUCUCUCAUUAGAACAUCCUAACAAGAAAAUUACUAUAAGAAAAUCAUCAAAUAAAAAUUAAUUUUUAUAUAUUAAAAUAAUUAGUUGUAAUAGUAACUAAAUUAGAGAUCAUUUUAAAAAUUAAAAAAAAAAUUGAUUUAUAUUAUUCUUAAAUAGUUUCUAAAUUGGUAUCUAAUUAGUAACCAAGAUUUUAACUACCAAUUAUUUAGAUUCUAAAUUUGAUAGCAAAAACCUUGAUUGUUAAUUAAAUAUCAAUUUAAAAAUCAUUUAACAAUAAUAUAAACUAAUUUAAAAAUCAAAAAUUUAUUUAGUUUUUAAAAUUAUUUUUAAUUUAGUCACUUUAACAAUUAAUUAUUUUUUAUUUUUAAAAUUGGCAUCAUUUUCGGUUGCAUUGAAACAAAACCUAUUCAUCCAAUUACUCCUCAAUGAAACCUCUCUCUGUUUGUGCUUUAUAAGAAUUUCUCCACAGAGAAGAUACAACCACCCUUACCUAACACUCAACAAUUUUGAAUGUUACACUGUCUUAAAAGUCAUCAGCAUAUUUAUGACCAAACAAAUCAAACCCAGCUACAUAUAGUCUUCAUUCAAAUCAUUUUACCCACAGACUAGUUCAACAAUCAUUUUUGUCUAGAAAAAUUCCUGAAUCAACCCAUAAUUAUUGAGAUUGAAAGUUUAUUAAACAAUCCAUUAAGACUGAAUACAACUGGAAAGUGAAUACUUCAGGAAUAGUUAAAAGCCUUUGCACCAUUAAUUAUUAAAAUAUGCAAUUAUUGGGCUUAUCAUAUCUUGAUGAUCAGCUAUAAGUUUUUUAACAUAGAAUUAAUUGUAAAAGGAUGGUAUAUUGAGGCAAUAAAAUAGAAGUUGGAAAUAAGAGAAAUGAUGAACAAAGUGAUUUUGAAAGUCUUGCACAAAGGUAAUAAACAGGGCAUCUAUCAAGAAAAUCAUGAAAUAAAAAUCAAUUUUUAAAGAUCAAAAUAAUUAGUUACAAUAAUAACUAAAUUAGAUAUCAUUUUAAAAAUUAAAAAAAAAAAUUGGUUUCUAAAUUAGUUUCUAUUAUUGUUAAAUAGUUUCNNNNNNNNNNNNNNNNNNNNNNNNNNNNNNNNNNNNNNNNNNNNNNNNNNNNNNNNNNNNNNNNNNNNNNNNNNNNNNNNNNNNNNNNNNNNNNNNNNNNAGUGUCGUGAGUAGUAGUUAAUUAUGUUCAUGUACACUUACGAAAGUUUUGCUGAAAGAACACAUUUAUAAACUGAACUUUAUAUUCCUCAAGACAUCUUUUUCCAAAGUUUGCAUUAUUACGUCCCCACUUCUCAACUCUUAAUUACUUUAAGGAAAAAUACACAAUGCCACUCUUAAGCAUUGCAUCUUUAGUAUUUUCUUAAGUGUGGUUUUGUGAAUUGAUUAUUUAUAUAAACAAGUUGAUUAUUUGUGAAAGCUUGAUGAAAAAAAAAAACUUUAUUAUUUUAAAAGAAUGUAUGUUUUCCUAACAUGCAUUUAUAAUUUUAGACAUGUUGAACUUUGUGACUAUAAUCUCUAACUUUUUUUUAUCAGUAAUGAAUGUGUUAGAGAUUGCACAUCGACUAUAGAUUAGAUCAUUUCAUAAUAUAUAAGUAAAUGCAAAUUUCACAUCGUAAGCCGGUUUUAUGAGAUUAGGUUAGGCUUAAAGUCCACUUUUUAGUAUGCUAUCGAAGUCAUUUUUAACCUAUCAUUUAUCAGGUCAUCCGCUAUCGAGCCGAAGUGAGUGCAAACAAAAUUCACUUCUUAGUACAAUGAAUUAAAUAAAUUGAACAUUUAAGAGAUAUUUAAAUUCAUAUAUAAAAAUAUUAGGAUUAGGAUAGUCUAUCACACCACUAGCACCUGAUGAUUUCCCAUUUGUUCUUGAACCAUACACAUAUCACCCUCUCAUUGCAUAUUCUUUGAUAGACCAAAAAAAGUUAACCGCAACUUUUUCACACACAAAAAAUCAUGUACAUAAAUCACCCAAACUUGAGAACAAUCUAAUUCUUCCCGGGUAAUAUUCCUCAAUAUCUUGUCCUUGAUAACUCAUGUAUUCCACUUUCUUGCUUUUGUUUAUCUUGAGUUAGCAUUUCUCAAAAUAAUUAUGUAGUUCAACCCGAGAUUGCAUCGUGAUGAGCAACAUAAUAUUGCAUUAGAAUAGCCUAUUCUUUCAGUAACCCACUAUCAUACAUUAUGUUUUUGUUGGAUUUUGGCUUUGAGGCACUAAGUUGUAACAUAUAUGCUUCAUCUAUCCAAGCACCUGCAAUAUAGAGAAAACAUACCUAAUAAUAUCUAUUGUUAUAUAUAUUUGUUAUCUUAUAUAUGUAUUAUUGAUAUUAUUAUUUUAUUAUUUUCAUUAUUUAUAAUUAUAUGUUAUUAUUAAUAGUAUAAUUAACUAUUUUUGAAAUUGUUUAAUAAAUUUAUAUAAUAUUUAAUUUUGUAUAUUGUAUAUUAUAAUAAAAUGCAUGCACAAGGGUAUUUAGGUAAAAUGCAGUAAUUAUACAUAAAAUUAGCACAAAUCUCUUCAUUUGUGUGUGAGGAUUGAAAAAACACUUUCACCCUUCCCCCACCCUCAAAACCACUAAAAUAAAUACAAGAAACACCCUCUCCCUCCUCAUACUUGGAAACAAACAUAACAUCUAGGAAAUGUAAAUUUUAGCACAGAACUAAAAGAAGAUAAUAAGGUGCUAACAAAAGAGUUUUUAGAAGAGGAGAUUAGAUGAUUAUGUUGUAAUGUGAAGGUAAAAAAACCCAAGUACAAAUGAGUAUAAUUGUACCUUUACUAAGAAGUUUUGGAACAUAAUUAGAGGGGAACUUUCUACAUGGUGUGUAAAGACCGAGAAAAUUAGUCUUAGAGUAGAAGUGAUACAAUUAAAAUAACACAUAAAUAUUUUAUUAUUAAAAUGAAAAGAGCAUAUAAAUAGAAAAUUCAGUUAUUCAGGUUUCAUUUUAAAAGAACCAUCAUCUCUCUAAAAGUUUCCUUUUGCCUUCAUCUCCCUUCUCACUAAGAUUCUGACCUCCUCACUCAUCAGUUUGACGAUCAAAGUCCGCCAUCAAACUCCUGAUAGUGAAUACUACAAGAUUGCCCUAUCAGAAUGUUUAAUAGAGUAAGUUCAUUUUUGCUCUUCUCUUUUAGUCAAAUUUUGAACUUGUUUGAGUUGUCUCUGCAUAAGCUUUGCAUGUGACUCUUUUUAGUUAGAAUAUGAAUUUUAAUCAAGACAUAGUAUUUUAAGGAAUGACAAUACUAUUAAGAAGUGGACUUUAAGCCUAACUCAACCCCAUAAAACCGGCUCAUGGGGUUGAGGUUUGCACCCACUUAUAUAUUAUGAAAGGCUCUAAUCUCUAGUCGAUGUGGGAUCUCCAACAAAUACCAUGUUAAGAUUGUUUAGGAUGUGCAUUGACUAGGUAUUCGUUUAGGAGAUAUCCUAACUCUUCUAAGAUAAUGAAAUCAUAUAAAUGAAGUUAUUCAGGUGGUAAAAGUCGAAUGAGAUUCAUAUGAAGGGGUAAAUUGUUUGAAAGAUAACUAACUUGACCUGUUAUAUGAAUUAACAUUGUCAUACUAUGAGAGAUGAUAUUGAGAUUAUUUAUGUGCAUAGUUGUGUGGAUUUCACAGUGAGAUAGUAUGACAUAUGCAAAUCUCUGAGUCUAAGUCAAUGCACGAGUCUUUCAGAAGUAGAGUCAAAUGUCUAUCUAUUUUGAGUCACUAGAAGUCUGACAUGUGAAAGAUGAAUUAUGAAUUUUAAUAUAUACUUGAUGAUUUGAGAAAUUGUAUGAGACUUGAUGAAUUAUGUUUAUUAAUUUGAAAUUAAAAUUAUAUAGAAAUUUAUUUUAUAGCUAGCUUACCCUGUGCUUUAUUUUGUGUUUGUUUUCUUUAUCUGUGAUGAUCAUGUAUUUUACACAGAAGCAUAUGAGGCUGCAGGUGAAAGAAAUCCCUAGUGAGCAGAUAAAAGAUAUAUAGUUGUUUUUAUUAAUUUGUUGAUGUUUGUAAAUAUAAUUUUACUUGUGAAAUAAUGUAUAUUUUGAACUACUAAACAUAUGAUAUAGAUAAAUAUUUAUGUUGAAAAUUCACGCAUAUUAUAAUAUUAGAUGUUGAAAAAUAUGGGGA
Molecule: long non-coding RNA, 7004 nt
Filed under: Phaseolus vulgaris (common bean)
Lineage: Eukaryota; Viridiplantae; Streptophyta; Magnoliopsida; Fabales; Fabaceae
Description: long non-coding RNA (PVUL_LNC001415)
Source: RNAcentral